UACCCGCAGCACAAGUGGUGGUCAUUAUUAUUGGGCCUAAAGCGUCCGUAGCUGGCCUGUUAGGUGCCUGGGUAAAUCGAUGCGCUCAACGCAUCGAACUCCGGGUAGACCGGCAGGCUUGGGACCGGGAGAGGCGUGAGCUACUCGAGGGGUAGGGGUAAAAUCCUGUAAUCCUUCGGGGAGGACCAGUGGCGAAGGCGUCACGCUAGAACGGCUCCGACAGUGAGGGACGAAGCCCUGGGGCGCAAACCGG
This 253-nucleotide ribosomal RNA is filed under the name uncultured bacterium. RNAcentral's name for it is "partial 16S ribosomal RNA". It matches the Rfam family "Archaeal small subunit ribosomal RNA", at positions 474 to 727 of the family's 1478-position model. The record is from RNAcentral.